Long non-coding RNA from Homo sapiens (human), 4731 nucleotides. RefSeq lists it as uncharacterized. The transcript has 3 exons. The record is from RefSeq and is a predicted model, not a curated record. Lineage: Eukaryota; Metazoa; Chordata; Mammalia; Primates; Hominidae.
ACAAACUGCUUUAGAAAAGAAACAGAAAGAGGCUCAAGCCUUUGAGAGGCUGCCACUUUUGUAAAAAAUCUCUCUCUGCCCCCAGCUUUGUUUGACACCCAACAAAUUUCUUUAAUCAAAAUCACUCCUUUCUCUUCUACAGAUAAAUUCCUGGAAAGUGUAAAGGGAAGAAAGCCCCUCCAUUGGGAAAUAGGUUGGUGUCAGGCUACUUGCUUGUCUGAUUCUUCACAAUGAUAAAGGCCAGCAGAGAAAGUUCAGUGCAAAAGUUCAUCAGCCACCAGGCCAUCAGGAGCAUCUAUUGAUCAAAUCAAAUGUUCACUUCAAACUGCGUUUCUUAACCUGCAGGUGUAGAAUCACCCAUAACAGAUACAGUCACACCUAUCUCUGCACAUACUUGUACGUUCAGGACAACCUGAUGUAUUACAAUUAACAACAUGGUGUCAGUACUGCAGAAGGAUUCACUUGUAUAAAAUAUCCACCAGAGAAAUCGCCUGGAAGUUACUUUCUAAUCUCCUUGACUCUUCCUCGGUACCUUGUGGAAUAGAUGUGGGCUGGUAAGAGGUCUCCGACAGCUGGUACGUUGGCAAGGUCGGCAUGGCAGUGGGAGGGAACCCCCCGGGAAUGAGAUGGUUGAAAGCCAUCAGUUGAUUGGCCCCAGCUUGCUUCCUCCAUCUUGCACGGCGGUUGCUAAACCAGACCUAUGGAUUUAAUUUAAAAUUUAAGGAUUUCACUGAUGAAAUAAUAGUACAUUCUUAAUGAAUUUUUUAUGCUAAAACAGAUUAGAGGCUUCUUACUGAAAGGGCAAAUAGAUGCAAGAGUUCUCUGCCUUCUGUGUUGUUUGGGCGAAUUGUCAGGAGUAAAAGAAGAGUUUAGUGUCAAAGGUCAGUAGAGGGGCUUCAGGGACCCACCAUGAUCUUGCAACAACAGCCCCCAUGAACCUUAUGAGGACCAUGGGCAGGAAUCACUGAGCAGGAGUAGGAACAACAGGAACUCCCCUCCCUACCCUCAACAUCCACCCACCUACGUGUAGACAGCCUUCUGGGGAGGAUACAUGAGCCUCUGUGACCCCUGCAUGACGCAUGUCCUAAAUGUGGCCUUGCCUUUUACUCCAAGCCUUGUAUUUUAUAUUCUUAUUAGUCUGUCUCUGUAUUUCUGUGGUCACUAGGGGUAUAGCUUCUGGAUGGUCAUAUAAAUUGAACAGAGGAUAAGUGGAGCCCUUUUUUCAUCUCUUCCAAAAUAUGAAACAUUGCACUGAUCUCGGUGGAAAUAAAUGCCAAAGAGGUAAGUGUUUCAAGAAAUGAAAGCCUUUUUUUAUCUAAAAUAAUUCAUUUGUGUCUUAUUUAUUUCAACAACAGCUUUAAGCUCCUAGAACACGCUGUGUCAAGCACUAUGCUAACCAGGUACAUUCAGAAAAGCCUGAUACAAUAUAAUAAAAUGCCCUCAAAUAAUUCAAAGCCCAAGUAUUUUGUAUGAGUCAAUGGAGAGAAAGGGCAGUCAUGGCAGCAAGAAAUGUAACUGAAUAUCUAAACUAUUGAGAAAUUGUGAUAUAAGGCCUUUCAUGGGUCCUGUGCUCCUGCCCAACUCUUACAUCUGCAAAGUUUAAAUGUAGAACUUGGGGUGAUUUUUCCACGGAGCACACAUGAUGUUUCCCCUAAAAUGAGAGAGGAUUUCUACCAACUAAAGAUAUUCUAAUUCCUACAUCAAAAGUUCAUUGAAACUUUUUUUUUUUUUUUUGAGACAGUCUUGCUCUGUCGCCCAGUCUGGAGUGCAAUGGCGGGAUCUCAGUUCAACCCAACCUCCGCCUCCCAGGUUCAAGGGAUUCUCUUGCCUCAGCCUCCCCAGUAGCUAUGAUUACAGGCACCCGCCACCAUGCCCAGCUAAUUUUUGUAUUCUUAGUAGAGACGGGGUUUCACCAUGUGGGUCUUGAACUCCUAAGCUCAGGUGAUCCACCCGCCUCGACCUCCCAAAGUGCUGGGAUUACAGGCGUGAGCCACCCAUUGAAACUUAAUAUGGAGGAAAGCACUGUGUUUGGGGUUGGAAGGAUAUAAAGGGAAUCAAGUAGGAUCUCUGCACUCUGGUAGUUUGAUGCCUUGUCCUCAUGGGAUUCACAGAGCAGUCAAGGAGACCAAAAUAAUUGCUCGCUAGAGGUAGAAACUUCACAUUUGGAAGCACAGAGAAUCAGGAAAACUCUAAAGUGGAAGCAAAAAGUUUCAGCUCAUUUUAAAAUUUGAUUCUAAUUUCGACGAGCGAUCGCUUGAGAUGGAAGUGACAUCCAUCCUGUCCUACAGGGCAGGCAGAUGCAGCUUGUUACAGGAGGCCAGCUUAAGAGAAGAUGAGAAUUGAUUUCCUUACAGAGCAAUGUUAACAAUUUUGCAACUUAAUUGUAAUUCUUAAAGUCAGAUCAUUUAAGAGCGGAGGAAAAGAUUUUUCUGGAGAAGAAGCUCAAUUUAAUAAAUCCUUUGCCGAGGGAUUUGCUCAAACUUUUGGUACUCACCCAAGCAUUUGUCUGAAAAGAGUUUUGUCUUCUCUCGCCAUUGUUGCAAGAUACUGGUAAGGAAAGCUGUUUGAACUUCCUCAAAACAUCAACAUUUAAUACUCCUUAAGUUUCCAACAGGAAAACGAGGUAAGUUAAUAUUUUCCCAUGUUGAUACAUAAUUGAAUUAGAGUUUUACUUAACUUAAUAAAUUGCCACCUGGGGUAAUAGAACCAUGAACAGCACUUAAUUUCAGGUCUGCAUUAACUGUGCUUUCUCACUGCCCCGGUCUGAGUGCCUGUUACCACGGCUCCCAAAGGCAUCAGGGUAAGAAAAUCAUUUUCAAGAAAGUUCUGGGAACAAACUGUGUUAGCUUGGGGAGGCUGAAGGUGGGAAAUUAGGGUCAUGUUCAUGCCUGAGUGCACUGUACCAUAACACACACUGUGGUUGUAGUUUAUAUUAUAAUACGUCAAGACUAAGGAGGUACUCCCGGCUCAGAUCAGGUAGUCCUCUGCAACUAUCUAGACCAGCGAUGUACAGUGCAUCUCCAGCUUUAUAUUGCUGGGAGGAGAACUGGACUUCCAAAAGUUUUGAUGUAACUUCACUCAUGAAGAUUUACUAUGCUCAGUUCCACUGGUGAAACCCUUUAUGAAGAACUCAGAAAGGUACGCUUCGGUUUUUGUCAGAUUUGUUGGCAAUCUCUCUGUGCCACCUGCCUUCUGUAACCUUUAGAUAAGUAAACCCAGGAGUGGUGAAGCCUGAUCUCUCCAUCAAUCUCAAGUUACUAUUGACUCAAGGUUCAUUCUAACUCCACCAUAACCCAAUUUUUAAAAACAAAAAUGUCUUUGCUGAGAUAAUAAAGAAGAAACAUCAUGAGUUUCUACAAAUACCUUCAAAAGACAGAAUCCAAACAGAGUAAGAGUAUAAGGGUUUGGGGGUUUGUUUUCAUAUUUUCUAAAAUGAUAUAAAUAGGUAACAAAGACAUUGAGUAAACUCACCAGGAGUUGGAUUAAAAAGUCCUUAUAUUUAUUAUACAGUAUCUAUUAUAUCCACAAUAAAAAAUGAAGAGAAAUUGUUGUGAAGCAAAUCUUUACUGAAAAACAAACCUUCAGCAAGAGGUUCAAGAGAUUCCCAAAGGAAGGAAUUUAAAUGUUGUUUAAAUUUAGGCUAAAUAAAUCCAGAGGGCUAUUCCUAAGAGAACCAGGGCUUAGUGAGGACUGGCCUGCCUGUCUCUGGUCAUUUAACCUGAUUUUUUAUCAUCUUACCAUUGCCAGCCUUCUGCAUUUCCUAGAACCAGCUGAAUUUGCCAAAAGAAGUAUUAAAGGAAAAACACACUAACUUUGCAAAUUAAGAACUGGUCUUUGCCUUCUUUAUGUUUUGAAACUCAAAACAGACAAAUUUUCUAUUUUUAGUAGACUAAAAAGAGUACCCUAGAAAUGACCUUUACUUUCAAUACCUGAACGAACCAAGCGUAGUGAUCCUAGGAGGCUGUUAUCAGCCCACAUUUAACUGAAAUUUUCUUGAUACUCCUAAGUCUUAGAUAACUCUUUCAAUAUUGUAUCACUAAUUCCUAACAUACAAUCAAUGAAUAAUCUGCAGAAUGGCAUGUGUGAGUGUAUAACACUGAAUAAAUUCAUCUAAAAUAUACAUAUUUAUAACUUAGUAGUUACACUUUCUAGAAAUUUCCCCUUGUUUUGAAAAGAAUAGCAGUAGCAACAGAGGCAAACUGGCCUAUGACUGAUGUUCUAGGAGAGAACAGAAAUUUACCACCCAAUGUCUUUGCCAGUAGGGUGGAAAGAACAAGAUUUACAAAGUUGGCUAUACACCUUUAAAUGAAAUUAUAUGAUCUACAAUUCAAUGUAAUUUUACUAUCCCCACACAAGAUUACCUGGCCUUCCGCAUCACACUUGGCAUGUUAAGGAAGUGGGGGCAGGAGGCACAAAUUUGUCAGUAACCUACUAUACUAUUAGACACAGUUAAUUGUCUAUCAUUGCAUGUAUAAUAUUACAUCAAAAGUCUCCCUCAAAGCAAGUUGUUAUUUCAUUUGAUAAACUGCAGCCCGGUUCAUUUUUAUCUGCCGCCUGUACUUCCCAACUUGUAUGUCUCUCUACUGAGUCCUUCCAUAAAGCCAUAUUUCAUGUCUUUGAAAAAUGAUCUUUACAUGCAUUUCUCUAGUAGUAUAAUGUCCAAUGAUUUUUUGAAACAAAAUUUAAAUUGGUUGAAAGAGCCCCAUAACAUCAUGAUAACUAGGAAAAAAA